AGGCAUGUGGAGUUAAUUCGAUGCAACGCGAAGAACCUUACCUGGGUUUGACAUACACCGGAAAACCGUAGAGAUACGGUCCCCCUUGUGGUCGGUGUACAGGUGGUGCAUGGCUGUCGUCAGCUCGUGUCGUGAGAUGUUGGGUUAAGUCCCGCAACGAGCGCAACCCUUGUCUUAUGUUGCCAGCACGUGAUGGUGGGGACUCGUAAGAGACUGCCGGGGUCAACUCGGAGGAAGGUGGGGACGACGUCAAGUCAUCAUGCCCCUUAUGUCCAGGGCUUCACACAUGCUACAAUGGCCAGUACAGAGGGCUGCGAGACCGUGAGGUGGAGCGAAUCCCUUAAAGCUGGUCUCAGUUCGGAUCGGGGUCUGCAACUCGACCCCGUGAAGUCGGAGUCGCUAGUAAUCGCAGAUCAGCAACGCUGCGGUGAAUACGUUCCCGGGCCUU
Molecule: ribosomal RNA, 448 nt
Filed under: uncultured Rhodococcus sp.
Lineage: Bacteria; Bacillati; Actinomycetota; Actinomycetes; Mycobacteriales; Nocardiaceae
Description: bacterial SSU rRNA
Rfam family: Bacterial small subunit ribosomal RNA
Source: RNAcentral